GACGAACGCUGGCGGCGUGCUUAACACAUGCAAGUCGAACGGAAAGGCCCUGCUUUUGUGGGGUGCUCGAGUGGCGAACGGGUGAGUAACACGUGAGUAACCUGCCCUUGACUUUGGGAUAACUUCAGGAAACUGGGGCUAAUACCGGAUAGGAGCUCCUGCUGCAUGGUGGGGGUUGGAAAGUUUCGGCGGUUGGGGAUGGACUCGCGGCUUAUCAGCUUGUUGGUGGGGUAGUGGCUUACCAAGGCUUUGACGGGUAGCCGGCCUGAGAGGGUGACCGGCCGCAUUGGGACUGAGAUACGGCCCAGACUCCUACGGGAGGCAGCAGUGGGGAAUAUUGCACAAUGGGCGGAAGCCUGAUGCAGCAACGCCGCGUGCGGGAUGACGGCCUUCGGGUUGUAAACCGCUUUCGCCUGUAACGAAGCGUGAGUGACGGUAAUGGGUAAAGAAGCACCGGCUAACUACGUG
This 468-nucleotide ribosomal RNA is filed under the name uncultured bacterium. RNAcentral describes it as "partial 16S ribosomal RNA". It matches the Rfam family "Bacterial small subunit ribosomal RNA", at positions 28 to 507 of the family's 1533-position model. The record is from RNAcentral.